ACUAUAAACACUCUCAGAGCACUGAAGCAUGUGCUGACAAUGCAAAGAAGUGGGCAGGAUUUACAACAGCUUGUGCUGAGAACAAACUCAUAUACACUAGAGUUACACAAUCAUGACUUUAUUUAGUAUGUUUAUUGUGACUCCUGAGACACUGAGGAUGUGCAGAUGAACGUCCAUCUCUGUGUCCAUAUUCAGUCAUGUGACCAUCAUCACUGCUACACUUCCACUAGAUGAAGCGCCAUCACUAAAGUAAGAUCAUGAAUCAUGAGUGUGUUCAGAAAGUAUCAGGACUGAUUGUGAAUCUCUAAUCAGAGUUCAUGGUGUCACUCCAUCUAUCAUGAAGCCUCAUGUGUGUCUGAAAUCAUCAGAUGGAGAAGAAACAGGCUGUUAAAGAUGGACACAUAUUAGAGCUUGUUCACGUUUCAUGAUCUUGUGUGGAGAUUCAGAACCAGUCCAGAUACUUUUAUAACACACCUUGAAUAUGAAAACAUGCUUGACUGUGUAGAACAUGCAAAACACCUUUUAUAUCUUCAUUGUCACACUUUCUAUUGACUUUGGCUCUAAUAUUCAAUAAAGUCAUUAUUUGAACAGAUUCUCACUGAAGAUUGAAGUGUGAAGCUGCAGGUUUUUCUGUGAAUCAUGAUGAUUGAUCUGCAUAUGAAGAACAGAAGCAUCAUUAUGAGAAACUCCACAACAUCAUCCAUGAUCAAAGAGGUCAAAGGUCACCUCAGAGGUCACAGCUCAUCACAUAUAUUUCUUUAAACAGUGUUAUAUCAGAAAGCAUUUAGUCAAAUCUGAAUGAGUGAGUGUUGAGAAGAGCUGAGGAUCUUCUAAUAUCAGUGUGUUGAAGUGUUGUUUCUCUCUCUCUGCUGGAGUGUGUGUUCACUCGAGUGGAAUAGAGGUUUUUGUACGAGCGUUUCAUUAGAUUGUAUCACUGUGGUACACAUUCGGUGGAGGAACUAAACUGGUGAUCGCUGGUCCCACAGUGAAGCCCUCAGUGUCUCUGCUGCCGCCCUCUUCUCUGCAGAUCUCUGGAGACUCAGCCGCACUGCUCUGCCUGCUCAGCUCUUACUCUCCACAGGGGGCGCUGGUGAGCUGGACACUGGACGGGUCAGAGGUCACCGAGGGGGUUCUGACCAGCGCAGAGAGCCAGCAGGACGGCCGCUACAGCCGCAGUAGCGUCCUGACCCUCAGCAAAGCACGCUGGGAAGAGGGAGAGCUGUACGUCUGCAGAGUAACACAUGAUGGAGCUCCUCAUGAGGUCUCGUUCCACAAGAGCUCUGAGUGCUGAUGUUUCUCUCCUGAAGAUGAGCCGUAUCUGAGUGUCCUGUGUCAGGCAGGAUUCACAUGAGUCUAGUGCUGCAGCUGUAGUGCUUUACAACUCCAUACUGAAACAGUGUGUGUGUGUGUGUGUGUGUGUGUGUGUGUGAACUUUCAAUCUGCUGUGUUUGCUGCAACAUUCAAUAAAGCUUCUCAACAAGUUCA
Molecule: long non-coding RNA, 1485 nt
Organism: Rhinichthys klamathensis goyatoka
Lineage: Eukaryota; Metazoa; Chordata; Actinopteri; Cypriniformes; Leuciscidae
Exons: 2
Source: RefSeq, a predicted model, not a curated record